UGACACUGAGGCAUGAAAGCGUGGGGAGCAAACAGGAUUAGAUACCNUGGUAGUCCACGCCGUAAACUAUGGGUACUAGGUGUAGGGGGUAUCGACUCCCCNUGUGCCGCCGUUAACACAAUAAGUACCCCGCCUGGGGAGUACGGUCGCAAGACUAAAACUCAAAGGAAUUGACGGGGGCCCGCACAAGCAGCGGAGCAUGUGGUUUAAUUCGAAGCAACGCGAAGAACCUUACCUAGACUUGACAUCUCCUGAAUUACCCGUAACUGGGGAAGCUCUUCGGAGCAGGAAGACAGGUGGUGCAUGGUUGUCGUCAGCUCGUGUCGUGAGAUGUUGGGUUAAGUCCCGCAACGAGCGCAACCCUUAUCGUUAGUUGCUACCAUUAAGUUGAGCACUCUAGCGAGACUGCCCGGGUUAACCGGGAGGAAGGUGGGGAUGACGUCAAAUCAUCAUGCCCCUUAUGUCUAGGGCUACACACGUGCUACAAUGGUGAGGACAAAGAGACGCAAGACCGCGAGGUGGAGCAAA
RNAcentral lists this ribosomal RNA (528 nucleotides) under uncultured bacterium. RNAcentral describes it as "bacterial SSU rRNA". It matches the Rfam family "Bacterial small subunit ribosomal RNA", at positions 741 to 1271 of the family's 1533-position model. The record is from RNAcentral.